UACGUAGGCAGCAAGCGUUGUUCGGAGUUACUGGGCGUAAAGAGUAUGUAGGCGGUUGCUUAAGUUUGGUGUGAAAUCUCCCGGCUUAACUGGGAGGGUGCGCCGAAAACUGAGCGGCUGGAGUGCCGGAGAGGAACGCGGAAUUCCUGGUGUAGUGGUGAAAUACGUAGAUAUCUGGAGGAACACCGGUGGCGAAGGCGGCUACCUGGCCCAACAUUGACGCUGAGACCCGAAAGCAUGGGGAUCAAACAGG
Molecule: ribosomal RNA, 253 nt
Filed under: uncultured bacterium
Lineage: Bacteria
Description: partial 16S ribosomal RNA
Rfam family: Bacterial small subunit ribosomal RNA
Source: RNAcentral